RNAcentral lists this non-coding RNA (138 nucleotides) under Heterosigma akashiwo. The record is from RNAcentral. Lineage: Eukaryota; Raphidophyceae; Chattonellales; Chattonellaceae.
UUUUCUUUUCUCUGUUGUUUUAAAAGAAUUAACACAACAAGCAAUAAAGAAAAGAUAAGUUAUAAGUAAGAGUUCCUUUUUCAUCCUCAUUUGCAUAUGUGCAUAUCUAGCAGCUUCAUAUUGCUGCGUCCUUGAGAA